RNAcentral lists this ribosomal RNA (253 nucleotides) under uncultured bacterium. Its description in RNAcentral is "partial 16S ribosomal RNA". It matches the Rfam family "Bacterial small subunit ribosomal RNA", at positions 524 to 776 of the family's 1533-position model. The record is from RNAcentral.
UACGUAGGGACCAAGCGUUGUUCGGAUUUACUGGGCGUAAAGGGCGCGUAGGCGGCGUGUUAAGUCAGCUGUGAAAUCUCCGAGCUUAACUCGGAACGGUCAGCUGAUACUGAUGUGCUAGAGUGCAGAAGGGGCAAUCGGAAUUCUUGGUGUAGCGGUGAAAUGCGUAGAUAUCAAGAGGAACACCUGAGGUGAAGACGGGUUGCUGGGCUGACACUGACGCUGAGGCGCGAAGGCGUGGGGAGCGAACGGG